This 196-nucleotide ribosomal RNA is filed under the name uncultured bacterium. RNAcentral describes it as "partial 16S ribosomal RNA". It matches the Rfam family "Bacterial small subunit ribosomal RNA", at positions 1305 to 1500 of the family's 1533-position model. The record is from RNAcentral.
CUGCAACUCGCCUGCAUGAAGCUGGAAUUGCUAGUAAUCGCGGAUCAGCAAGCCGCGGUGAAUACGUUCCCGGGCCUUGUACACACCGCCCGUCACACCAUGAGAGUCGGGAACACCCGAAGUCCGUAGUCUAACCGCAAGGGGGGCGCGGCCGAAGGUGGGUCCGGUAAUUGGGGUGAAGUCGUAACAAGGUACC